RNAcentral lists this long non-coding RNA (324 nucleotides) under Cricetulus griseus (Chinese hamster). RNAcentral's name for it is "lncRNA (ENSCGRG00015032195.1)". The record is from RNAcentral. Lineage: Eukaryota; Metazoa; Chordata; Mammalia; Rodentia; Cricetidae.
UACAAAUCCCAGCAGACCACGCGGCGUCAGGGUCGCAGAUUCCGGCAUGCAGUUUGGAGCUGCCUUCCUUUGACCCUGAAAAUUACAUCUUAUUGCAUGUUCUCUCAGAAAGGCUUCACUCCCGUUGUUGGUUGCAGUUUUUCUGUGUCUGAUUCCUUCACAGCACAACUUGAAGCAUUUAGCUCUGUCUUAAAAUAUAAUGUUAGAGUAGACCCGUUCUAGAGGAGAGAACUCACUUCACAGAGAUCUGGCUGCCUCUGCCGCCUGCGUGCUGGGACUAAAGGCGUGCGCCACCACCGCCCGGCAGGACAGACUUCUUAUAAA